RNAcentral lists this ribosomal RNA (209 nucleotides) under uncultured bacterium. RNAcentral describes it as "partial 16S ribosomal RNA". It matches the Rfam family "Bacterial small subunit ribosomal RNA", at positions 568 to 774 of the family's 1533-position model. The record is from RNAcentral.
AGUGUAGGUGGCUCAUUAAGUCACAUGUGAAAUCCCCGGGCUUAACCUGGGAACUGCAUGUGAUACUGGUGGUGCUAGAAUAUGUGAGAGGGAAGUAGAAUUCCAGGUGUAGCGGUGAAAUGCGUAGAGAUCUGGAGGAAUACCGAUGGCGAAGGCAGCUUCCUGGCAUAAUAUUGACACUGAGAUUCGAAAAGCGUGGGUAGCAAACA